AUACGUAGGUGGCAAGCGUUAUCCGGAUUUACUGGGUGUAAAGGGCGUGUAGGCGGGAAAGCAAGUCAGAUGUGAAAACUAUGGGCUCAACCCAUAGCCUGCAUUUGAAACUGUUUUUCUUGAGUGUCGGAGAGGCAAUCGGAAUUCCGUGUGUAGCGGUGAAAUGCGUAGAUAUACGGAGGAACACCAGUGGCGAAGGCGGAUUGCUGGACGAUAACUGACGCUGAGGCGCGAAAGCGUGGGGAGC
Molecule: ribosomal RNA, 247 nt
Filed under: uncultured bacterium
Lineage: Bacteria
Description: partial 16S ribosomal RNA
Rfam family: Bacterial small subunit ribosomal RNA
Source: RNAcentral